Molecule: small nuclear RNA, 103 nt
Filed under: Pseudonaja textilis
Lineage: Eukaryota; Metazoa; Chordata; Lepidosauria; Squamata; Elapidae
Source: RNAcentral
UAGCUUUGGCAGCACAUAUACUAAAAUUGGAACAAUACAGAGAAGAUUAGAAUGGCCCCUGUGCAAGGAUGACUUGCAAAUUCAUGAAGCGGUCCAUUGAAAA